GGAGGAUGCAUUUAGUCAGAAACUAGACUCUCUCAAGCUGGAGAGAGAGAACGUCGCAUGCACAGAGCGCAGGAGGGAAGGGAACAAGAGCAUCGCAUGCGUGCGUGCUCUCAUAAAGUAAACCUCGCAUCUCCUCUCACGUUCACGCAUGUACACUGUAAGCAUGCUUUUCAAGGGAGGAAUUCCCCAUCUUGGAAAUUAAACUGCCUGUUCCGUUCUCUGGAUGGCUAAGACGCAGCAUUCGAUGGCUGAAUACUCAAGGACUGCGAGUUCUGAAAGGAAAACGCAUCGCUGAAGAGAUGCACUGAAGAGUUGGGCUUUUGACUAUAUGCUUCUGCGCUGCUCAGAGAUUUUAGCGUCAUGUUAUUUAACGCGAGACGCACGGGAACCUCUAUUUGUGCCCGACACACGGCCACUCGUAGCUUACUUUUUGACAGAGAGGAAUAUGCACGUCAGUUGUUAAAAGUAAGCUUUUUAAAUCACCCAGUUAUUUCUGCGUACUCUUGUGCAUUUGUAUUUUUAAACGUGAAUUGACUCGUAGCACAGCUUGAAUCACUGAAUUGUUUUGGUCACAAUAAGUCUUAGUAAUUUAGUAGUCUGUAAGUGGACUUUAAAUUAUAAAUAAAUGCAUAUUUGCAAAAAUGCAUGCAUGUAUGAUACUAACAUUUUGCGUGGAUUGCUUAUAACUGACCCCAUGAGACAAACAAGGCUAUGUUGAGUGGUAAGUGCAUGUGGCCCUCUGUACUUUGUACAUUCACAGCAGGUGCAUCUGGAAUGUCUGGAACAUUUUCAUGAAAUAUGUAGCGUGUGUAUCUUUAACAGUAAUAUGAAUAGGCGGCAUAGUAACUACAUAACCUAAGAAGCCUUUUUUAGUCAUGUUGGAUUAUGUACACUACUUGUAUGUUUGCAGUGCUUUAGUGGCAAAAUUAGUGGCAUUCGAUUUAGUAAAGCAUGUUUAUUGCAUUACUAUUGUCUAUAAUUAUAUUUAUAAAUAAAAUAGCUCUAUAUUAAUUUAGUCUAUUUGCGGACAUUUUGCUUAAUGCAUGCUUAUAUAAAUAGCUUUUAUAAUAUAAUACAGUUUGCAUAUACGUGAUGAAAAAGCUUAAUAAUUUGUCUCAUUUAGAAUUAACACCAAAUGUAAUUAACAAUACAUUUAUCUAAAUUACGUCACUUUUACGUGAGGGAAACGUGGGUUCAGUAGACAAGUUUUGAACAGUCAGGAAACGUCUUCAUAGUUUCAAAUGAAAAAACAGAACUGUUGAAAUAUAUUUAACAUGCGUCCCUGUAAAAUAAAAGUUGCAUAAUAUUAACUUUAUAAGCUAUUUGGGUCUUAUUUCAUAAUUUCAUCAUUUUGGAGAAAAAGGUAAGAAUUACAUGAAACUGUUGGGUAAAAGGUCUUACCCACUGCAGUUUGCGGAAUUAUAAUGCACGAGAUGAAGAUGAAAUGAUGCAUGGUGAUGUAGGCGUGAUAACUGUCUGAUUGUUGGGGCUUAACGAGCCAGAUGAAAUGGUUAGCCAUAAUAAUCGUCAUUUUUUAAGGAUUAUUAGUGACCAGAAGGGACAAAAUCCCGUUUAGAUUAAUGGAAACCCUGGCAAUAACUCCAAAGGCUCAAUUUGAAACGCCUCCAGAUCGCAACUUCAGGCCUUGACUAUUGUGGAUUAUGUCUUCACCACGUGCUAAAGGUCUGGAGGACCUCAUAAGUCCAUUCAACACUUGACUUGUUAACAGUAUUUACAGGUCUAUAAAAAGAGUGUGUAAUUUGAGUGUAAUUUAUUUAUUAACCAUUAACCAUGUUUUCGUUUAUCAGGUCAACUUUAUGAGAUGUUCCACAUUUAAAAAAAAAAAGAAAAGAGCGUUGACAGGAGGUAGUUGCUAUCUUUGGUUAUCUAGCUGUAUGAGUGUUUAUCUUCCUUCAUAAAGCUAGAUAACCGAAAGUAGAAACGUCCUCCUUAACUGCAUAGUGGACAAGUUGGAAAGCAAUGAUCGCAGGGAACUGCAUGAGCCUCUCAAACUGCAGUGUCUUUGUGAGAGACCAGAGGACUGGAGCUAAGGGGGAAAACGCCAUCUGCAACUGCCAGCCAUUUACACUGCUUUUUUGGAGCAAGAGGGAGAGAGGAAAAAAUGGUGCAAUUAUCCAAAUGAAAGAAAAGAAAAAUAAUAGUAAACCCUCAUCCUUCUUCUACCAGCUCCCCUCCCGUCUUCGUCAACGGAAGCAUUUAGUGCCAUCUGUGCCCCCAGAGAAAAGAGGAAAAAAAGAAAGGAGUGAGACUCUCCAUCCCAAGUGCCAAUGGGGACAAAGAGGCUGCCAGUUGCCACGGACCACCAGAUGCUGGAAGACUGCAAGUCUGAAUGAGGGGUGUGCUUUCAGGAAGCCAUCUUGAUGGAGAAGCUGGCUGCAGCUCCCUAAAAUGGCUGUGUUGGCAUGAGGCUCCUGGAAAUGAAACUGAAAAAUCCCUAUCGUUGUCAUCAGCUACUGGAGAAACUGAGGCCAUCCUGCUAUGUUUGACUCAAAUGGUCAAUCACAUCACCUCAGGAAUCCAGCGUCCAGCAUCUCUUCCAGAUGGUUCGCUGUGGAAAUUAAACAAGCAGAUGAGGGAUGGUUUAAAAUGUGCACUAAUUGAUUUAACUGGGUGUCUUAAAACCUUGCAGUCUUCAGACAAUCACUUAUCACUAGACAAUCACUGGAUGGGCUUGUGGAUUUGGGCUGCUCACCCAAACAUGUUGUACAGUCUUAUCAGUGCUAUAUAAGCUGAAGAGAAUAAUGUGCCUUAAUGUGUGAAAUGUUUACAAUGAGAGUUGAUGUUAAUGUCAAUGUCUGGGAUUUUGCAUUCCCUAUUUUAAAUGGACUUUUAAUGCUUCUUUGUCUUGCACAAAAGGGUAUGAACUUUCAUGUUAGGCAUUCGGUUUUUUUAUGUUAUUGUAUUUACAAAAUGUCCCAGUUUCAAUGGAUGUACAGGAAAUUGUGCUUAAUCUAAAUAUUUUGUAUUGGCUAUACUGUAUGCAUGGAGUUUAUUACAAGAAUUAUGGUCAGUUUCUCUCUGGAAUUUCAUUUAACUGAUUAUGUGAUGUAUGAAACAAACUUUUCAAACUGCACAAAUAAACGACAUUAAAGCA
This is a long non-coding RNA of Cyprinus carpio (common carp), 3115 nucleotides long. RefSeq lists it as uncharacterized. The record is from RefSeq and is a predicted model, not a curated record. The transcript has 4 exons. Lineage: Eukaryota; Metazoa; Chordata; Actinopteri; Cypriniformes; Cyprinidae.